ACGGCUCAGUAACACGUGGACAACCUACCCUAUGGAGGGGGAUAACCCCGGGAAACUGGGGAUAAUACCCCAUAGACUAUGAAUGCUGGAAUGCUUUGUAGUUGAAAGGUCCGCCGCCAUAGGAUGGGUCUGCGGCCGAUUAGGUUGUUGUUGGGGUAACGGCCCAACAAGCCUGUAAUCGGUACGGGUUGUGGGAGCAAGAGCCCGGAGAUGGAUUCUGAGACACGAAUCCAGGCCCUACGGGGCGCAGCAGGCGCGAAAACUUUACAAUGCGGGAAACCGUGAUAAGGGAACUCCGAGUGCCCGUAAAAUCGGGCUGUCCAUCUGUUUAAAUAACAGGUGAAGAAAGGGCCGGGCAAGACCGGUGCCAGCCGCCGCGGUAAUACCGGCGGCUCGAGUGGUGGCCACUAUUACUGGGCUUAAAGCGUUCGUAGCUGGUCUGUUAAGUCUCUGGGGAAAUCUACUGGCUUAACCAAUAGGCGUUUCAGGGAUACUGGCAGACUAGGGACCGGGAGAGGUGAGAGGUACUCCAGGGGUAGGAGUGAAAUCCUGUAAUCCUUGGGGGACCACCUGUGGCGAAGGCGUCUCACCAGAACGGCUCCGACAGUGAGGGACGAAAGCUGGGGGAGCAAACCGGAUUAGAUACCCGGGUAGUCCCAGCUGUAAACGAUGCGCGUUAGGUGUAUCGGUGACCACGAGUCAUCGAGGUGCCGAAGAGAAAUCGUGAAACGUGCCGCCUGGGAAGUACGGUCGCAAGGCUGAAACUUAAAGGAAUUGGCGGGGGAGGAC
RNAcentral lists this ribosomal RNA (789 nucleotides) under uncultured archaeon. RNAcentral's name for it is "bacterial SSU rRNA". It matches the Rfam family "Archaeal small subunit ribosomal RNA", at positions 85 to 879 of the family's 1478-position model. The record is from RNAcentral.